AUAUUGCACAAUGGGGGAAACCCUGAUGCAGCGACGCCGCGUGAAGGAAGAAGUAUCUCGGUAUGUAAACUUCUAUCAGCAGGGAAGAUAGUGACGGUACCUGACUAAGAAGCCCCGGCUAACUACGUGCCAGCAGCCGCGGUAAUACGUAGGGGGCAAGCGCUAUCCGGAUUUACUGGGUGUAAAGGGAGCGUAGACGGUGUGGCAAGUCUGAUGUGAAAGGCAUGGGCUCAACCUGUGGACUGCAUUGGAAACUGUCAUACUUGAGUGCCGGAGGGGUAAGCGGAAUUCCUAGUGUAGCGGUGAAAUGCGUAGAUAUUAGGAGGAACACCAGUGGCGAAGGCGGCUUACUGGACGGUAACUGACGUUGAGGCUCGAAAGCGUGGGGAGCAAACAGG
This 398-nucleotide ribosomal RNA is filed under the name uncultured bacterium. Its description in RNAcentral is "bacterial SSU rRNA". It matches the Rfam family "Bacterial small subunit ribosomal RNA", at positions 361 to 776 of the family's 1533-position model. The record is from RNAcentral.